UAGGGAAUCUUGCGCAAUGGGCGAAAGCCUGACGCAGCGACGCCGCGUGAGCGAUGAAGGCCUUCGGGUCGUAAAGCUCUGUGGGGAGGGACGAAUAAGGUUUGGCUAACAUCCAAAUCGAUGACGGUACCUCCUUAGCAAGCACCGGCUAACUCUGUGCCAGCAGCCGCGGUAAGACAGAGGGUGCAAACGUUGUUCGGAAUUACUGGGCGUAAAGCGCGUGUAGGCGGCAUCGUAAGUCGGGCGUGAAAUCCCACGGCUCAACCGUGGAAGUGCACUCGAAACUGCGAAGCUUGAGUCCUGGAGAGGAAGGUGGAAUGCUUGGUGUAGAGGUGAAAUUCGUAGAUAUCAAGCGGAACACCGGUGGCGAAGGCGACCUUCUGGACAGUGACUGACGCUGAGACGCGAAAGCGUGGGGAGCAAACA
This 426-nucleotide ribosomal RNA is filed under the name uncultured bacterium. Its description in RNAcentral is "bacterial SSU rRNA". It matches the Rfam family "Bacterial small subunit ribosomal RNA", at positions 355 to 774 of the family's 1533-position model. The record is from RNAcentral.